This 521-nucleotide ribosomal RNA is filed under the name uncultured bacterium. RNAcentral's name for it is "bacterial SSU rRNA". It matches the Rfam family "Bacterial small subunit ribosomal RNA", at positions 1 to 524 of the family's 1533-position model. The record is from RNAcentral.
GGAUCCAGACUUUGAUCAUGGCUCAGGACGAACGCUGGCGGCGCGCCUAACACAUGCAAGUCGAGCGGGAAGCUUUUUAAGGAUUCUUCGGAUGAAUUAAAAAGUGGAGAGCGGCGGACGGGUGAGUAACGCGUGAGAAACCUGCCCUAUACAGGGGGAUAGCCAUUGGAAACGAUGAUUAAUACCCCAUAUGACCACAGUAUCGCAUGAUACAGCGGUGAAAACUCCGGUGGUAUAGGAUGGUCUCGCGUCUGAUUAGCUAGUUGGUGGGGUAACGGCCUACCAAGGCGACGAUCAGUAGCCGGCCUGAGAGGGUGACCGGCCACACUGGAACUGAGACACGGUCCAGACUCCUACGGGAGGCAGCAGUGGGGAAUAUUGCACAAUGGGCGAAAGCCUGAUGCAGCGACGCCGCGUGAACGAUGAAGGCUUUCGAGUCGUAAAGUUCUGUUCUUGGGGAAGAUAACGACGGUACCCAAGGAGAAAGCACCGGCUAAAUACGUGCCAGCAGCCGCGGUAAU